RNAcentral lists this ribosomal RNA (459 nucleotides) under uncultured bacterium. RNAcentral's name for it is "partial 16S ribosomal RNA". It matches the Rfam family "Bacterial small subunit ribosomal RNA", at positions 338 to 795 of the family's 1533-position model. The record is from RNAcentral.
CCUACGGGAGGCAGCAGUGAGGAAUAUUGGUCAAUGGGCGCGCGCCUGAACCAGCCAAGUCGCGUGAGGGAAGACGGUCCUAUGGAUUGUAAACCUCUUUUGUCGGGGAGCAAAAGACGCCACGCGUAGCGUUCCGAGAGUACCCGAAGAAAAAGCAUCGGCUAACUCCGUGCCAGCAGCCGCCGUAAUACGGAGGAUGCGAGCGUUAUCCGGAUUUAGUGGGUUUAAAGGGUGCGCAGGCGGAAGAUCAAGUCAGCGGUAAAAUUGAGAGGCUCAACCUCUUCGAGCCGGUGAAACUGGUUUUCUUGAGUGAGUGAGAAGUAUGCGGAAUGCGUGGUGUAGCGGUGAAAUGCAUAGAUAUCACGCAGAACUCCGAUUGCGAAGGCAGCAUACCGGCGCUCAACUGACGCUCAUACACGAAAGUGUGGGUAUCGAACAGGAUUAGAUACCCGAGUAGUC